UUCCAGCCCCUGUGAUUCUGUGUGUGUGUCAGAACACAGGAAGCAACCACACGUUGCACAGAAGCUGUGACAGCAGCCAUGAUCCCAGGGUGGCUCCACACCUUGCAGAUCCCUGCCUGACUUCCUCGGAACAGCUGAAACCCUCAGGAACUGCAGCCAGAAAUAAGGUUUGCAUGAGACCAUCCUUGAAAAGGGGAGAGCAUCCAAAGAAACACCAGUCUCAGCUGGGAAGCACAGAACAGCUGAAUGGAAAGGCAAAUAAUGCUAGAAGUAAUUCUGCGUGGUCACUCCAGCUUUUUCCUCCCCAUCCUGCCCUCCUAUGAUAAAGAUUAAGGCCACUUAAGGCCAUUCUUGCAGUGAAA
Phasianus colchicus (ring-necked pheasant) is the source of this 362-nucleotide non-coding RNA. The record is from RefSeq and is a predicted model, not a curated record. NCBI's taxonomy places the organism in Eukaryota, Metazoa, Chordata, Aves, Galliformes, Phasianidae.